AGCGUACACGGUGGAUGCCUAGGCAGUCAGAGGCGAUGAAGGGCGUGCUAAUCUGCGAAAAGCGUCGGUAAGGUGAUAUGAACCGUUAUAACCGGCGAUACCCGAAUGGGGAAACCCAGUGUGUUUCGACACACUAUCAUGUCAUGAAUACAUAGUGGCAUGAGGCGAACCGGGGGAACUGAAACAUCUAAGUACCCCGAGGAAAAGAAAUCAACCGAGAUUCCCCCAGUAGCGGCGAGCGAACGGGGAGGAGCCCAGAACCUGAAUCGGCUUGUGUGUUAGUGGAAGCGUCUGGAAAGUCGCGCAGCAAAGGGUGAUAGCCCCGUACACUAAAAUGCACAGGUCGUGAGUUCGAUGAGUAGGGCGGGACACGUGACAUCCUGUCUGAAUAUGGGGGGACCAUCCUCCAAGGCUAAAUACUCCUGACUGACCGAUAGUGAACCAGUACCGUGAGGGAAAGGCGAAAAGAACCCCGGCGAGGGGAGUGAAAUAGAACCUGAAACCGUGUACGUACAAGCAGUGGGAGCACCUUCGUGGUGUGACUGCGUACCUUUUGUAUAAUGGGUCAGCGACUUAUAUUUUGUAGCAAGGUUAACCGUAUAGGGGAGCCGUAGGGAAACCGAGUCUUAACUGGGCGAUUAGUUGCAAGGUAUAGACCCGAAACCCGGUGAUCUAGCCAUGGGCAGGUUGAAGGUUGGGUAACACUAACUGGAGGACCGAACCGACUAAUGUUGAAAAAUUAGCGGAUGACUUGUGGCUGGGGGUGAAAGGCCAAUCAAACCGGGAGAUAGCUGGUUCUCCCCGAAAGCUAUUUAGGUAGCGCCUCGUGAACUCAUCUUCGGGGGUAGAGCACUGUUUCGGCUAGGGGGCCAUCCCGGCUUACCAAACCGAUGCAAACUCCGAAUACCGAAGAAUGUUAUCACGGGAGACACACGGCGGGUGCUAACGUCCGUCGUGAAGAGGGAAACAACCCAGACCGCCAGCUAAGGUCCCAAAGUCAUGGUUAAGUGGGAAACGAUGUGGGAAGGCACAGACAGCCAGGAUGUUGGCUUAGAAGCAGCCAUCAUUUAAAGAAAGCGUAAUAGCUCACUGGUCGAGUCGGCCUGCGCGGAAGAUGUAACGGGGCUAAACCAUGCACCGAAGCUGCGGCAGCGACGCUUAGGCGUUGUUGGGUAGGGGAGCGUUCUGUAAGCCGUUGAAGGUGGCCUGUGAGGGUUGCUGGAGGUAUCAGAAGUGCGAAUGCUGACAUAAGUAACGAUAAAGCGGGUGAAAAGCCCGCUCGCCGGAAGACCAAGGGUUCCUGUCCAACGUUAAUCGGGGCAGGGUGAGUCGACCCCUAAGGCGAGGCUGAAAAGCGUAGUCGAUGGGAAACAGGUUAAUAUUCCUGUACUUGGUGUUACUGCGAAGGGGGGACGGAGAAGGCUAGGCUGGCCGGGCGACGGUUGUCCCGGUUUAAGCGUGUAGGGGGUGUGACCUGGUAAAUCCGGUUGCAUAUCAACCCUGAGGCGUGAUGACGAUGCACUACGGUGCAGAAGUAGUUGAUGCCCUGCUUCCAGGAAAAUCCUCUAAGCUCCAGGUAACAUUAAAUCGUACCCCAAACCGACACAGGUGGUCAGGUAGAGAAUACCAAGGCGCUUGAGAGAACUCGGGUGAAGGAACUAGGCAAAAUGGUGCCGUAACUUCGGGAGAAGGCACGCUGGCAUGUAGGUGAAGUCCCUCGCGGAUGGAGCUGAAGCCAGUCGAAGAUACCAGCUGGCUGCAACUGUUUAAUAAAAACACAGCACUGUGCAAACACGAAAGUGGACGUAUACGGUGUGACGCCUGCCCGGUGCUGGAAGGUUAAUUGAUGGGGUCAGCCGCAAGGCGAAGCUCUUGAUCGAAGCCCCAGUAAACGGCGGCCGUAACUAUAACGGUCCUAAGGUAGCGAAAUUCCUUGUCGGGUAAGUUCCGACCUGCACGAAUGGCGUAAUGAUGGCCAGGCUGUCUCCACCCGAGACUCAGUGAAAUUGAACUCGCUGUGAAGAUGCAGUGUACCCGCGGCAAGACGGAAAGACCCCGUGAACCUUUACUAUAGCUUGACACUGAACAUUGAGCCUUGAUGUGUAGGAUAGGUGGGAGGCUUUGAAGCGUGGACGCCAGUCUGCGUGGAGCCAUCCUUGAAAUACCACCCUUUAAUGUUUGAUGUUCUAACUCUGCCCCAUAAUCUGGGGUGAGGACAGUGUCUGGUGGGUAGUUUGACUGGGGCGGUCUCCUCCCAAAGAGUAACGGAGGAGCACGAAGGUUAGCUAAUCACGGUCGGACAUCGUGAGGUUAGUGCAAAGGCAUAAGCUAGCUUGACUGCGAGAGUGACGGCUCGAGCAGGUACGAAAGUAGGUCUUAGUGAUCCGGUGGUUCUGAAUGGAAGGGCCAUCGCUCAACGGAUAAAAGGUACUCCGGGGAUAACAGGCUGAUACCGCCCAAGAGUUCAUAUCGACGGCGGUGUUUGGCACCUCGAUGUCGGCUCAUCACAUCCUGGGGCUGAAGUAGGUCCCAAGGGUAUGGCUGUUCGCCAUUUAAAGUGGUACGCGAGCUGGGUUUAGAACGUCGUGAGACAGUUCGGUCCCUAUCUGCCGUGGGCGUUGGAAGAUUGAGAGGGGUUGCUCCUAGUACGAGAGGACCGGAGUGAACGCACCACUGGUGUUCGGGUUGUCAUGCCAAUGGCAUUGCCCGGUAGCUAAGUGCGGAAAAGAUAAGCGCUGAAAGCAUCUAAGCGCGAAACUUGCCUCAAGAUGAGUCUUCCCUGGGCCUUUAAGGCCCCUGAAGGAACGUUUAAGACUAAGACGUUGA
This 2826-nucleotide ribosomal RNA is filed under the name Serratia marcescens. RNAcentral describes it as "bacterial LSU rRNA". It matches the Rfam family "Bacterial large subunit ribosomal RNA". The record is from RNAcentral. Lineage: Bacteria; Pseudomonadati; Pseudomonadota; Gammaproteobacteria; Enterobacterales; Yersiniaceae.